ACAGCUGAGGAGGCUGAAGCUGGCCAGAGGAAAGGGAGAUUGCGUGAAGAUGGGAAAACACGCAGGCCAAGAAAAGCCAUCCUUCAUGAGCUUGACAGCCCUGGGAGCCGACACAGAGACUUAGUGAACGGGACUAAAGGUUGAAGCCAGAGCUACACAUGGGCUGAGGGACCCCUCCUCAUGGGUCAGAGAAAAGGCCCAUCUGGGGCCUGUCCAAGGCAGUACAUAAGCCAGAGGUCGUUACCAUCUGCAUGACUGAAGCUCUGCCAUCUGAAGCUCUGAAUAUUGUGGUUUCAUCAGACAUACCCACUGGUACAGUUUGAAUCUAGGCUGUACCCCAGAGGGCCAUAUGGUGAAGGCUUAGUGGCUGAUCUGUGGCACUUGUGGGAGAUGAUAGGAUCUUUAGGGGAAGGGCCUGAUGGGAGGUAAUUAAGUCAUUGCAUGUGUGUUCCUGUGGGGAUACUGGGACCCUGAACUCUUCCUUGUCCCUCUCUACUUCCUGACCACCAUGAGGUGAACAAGCCAGUUCUGCCAAAGACUUUGGCCAUGGUGUUCUGUGUUACCACACACCCUGAGCAACAGCGCCAAAUGAAACCGUGGU
Molecule: long non-coding RNA, 601 nt
Organism: Mastomys coucha (southern multimammate mouse)
Lineage: Eukaryota; Metazoa; Chordata; Mammalia; Rodentia; Muridae
Exons: 2
Source: RefSeq, a predicted model, not a curated record